AUUGAACGCUGGCGGCAGGCCUAACACAUGCAAGUCGAACGAGUGGCGGACGGGAGGGUAAUGAAUGGGAAAGUGCCUGAUGGAGGAGGAUAACUACUGGACACGGUAGCUACUACCGCAUACCAUCGGCUAGGCCCAGAUGGGUUUAGCUUGUGGGUGGGGUAAAGGCUCACCUAGGCGACGAUCCCUAGCUGGUCUGAGAGGAUGACCAUCCACACUGGAACGGAGACACGGUCCAGACUCCUACGGGAGGCAGCAGGGGGGAAUAUUGCACAAUGGGCGAAAGCCUGAUGCAGCCAUGCCGCGUGUGUGAAGAAGGCCUUCGGGUUGUAAAGUACUUUCAGCGGGGAGGCGUUACCCGCAGAAGAAGCACCGGCUAACUCCGUGCCAGCAGCCGCGGUAAUAC
Molecule: ribosomal RNA, 406 nt
Filed under: uncultured bacterium
Lineage: Bacteria
Description: partial 16S ribosomal RNA
Rfam family: Bacterial small subunit ribosomal RNA
Source: RNAcentral